GACGAACGCUGGCGGCGUGCUUAACACAUGCAAGUCGAACGGUAAGGCCCUUCGGGGUACACGAGUGGCGAACGGGUGAGUAACACGUGGGUGAUCUGCCCUGCACUUCGGGAUAAGCCUGGGAAACUGGGUCUAAUACCGGAUAGGACCCUGGGAUGCAUGUCCUGGGGUGGAAAGCUUUUGCGGUGUGGGAUGGGCCCGCGGCCUAUCAGCUUGUUGAUGGGGUGAUGGCCUACCAAGGCGACGACGGGUAGCCGGCCUGAGAGGGUGACCGGCCAGACUGGGACUGAGAUACGGACCAGACUCCUACGGGGGGCAGCAGUGGGGAAUAUUGCACAAUGGGCGCAAGCCUGAUGCAGCGACGCCGCGUGAGGGAUGACGGCCUUCGGGUUGUAAACCUCUUUCAGCACCGACGAAGCGCAAGUGACGGUAGGUGCAGAAGAAGGACCGGCCAACUACGUGCCAGCCGCCGCCGUAA
Molecule: ribosomal RNA, 478 nt
Filed under: uncultured bacterium
Lineage: Bacteria
Description: partial 16S ribosomal RNA
Rfam family: Bacterial small subunit ribosomal RNA
Source: RNAcentral